RNAcentral lists this ribosomal RNA (628 nucleotides) under uncultured bacterium. Its description in RNAcentral is "bacterial SSU rRNA". It matches the Rfam family "Bacterial small subunit ribosomal RNA", at positions 202 to 831 of the family's 1533-position model. The record is from RNAcentral.
UAAAGAAUUUCGGUAUGGGAUGGGGAUGCGUUCCAUUAGUUAGUUGGCGGGGUAACGGCCCACCAAGACAACGAUGGAUAGGGGUUCUGAGAGGAAGGUCCCCCACAUUGGAACUGAGACACGGUCCAAACUCCUACGGGAGGCAGCAGUGAGGAAUAUUGGUCAAUGGACGAGAGUCUGAACCAGCCAAGUAGCGUGAAGGAUGACUGCCCUAUGGGUUGUAAACUUCUUUUAUAUGGGAAUAAAAUGUUCCACGUGUGGGAUUUUGUAUGUACCAUAUGAAUAAGGAUCGGCUAACUCCGUGCCAGCAGCCGCGGUAAUACGGAGGAUCCGAGCGUUAUCCGGAUUUAUUGGGUUUAAAGGGAGCGUAGGUGGAUUGUUAAGUCAGUUGUGAAAGUUUGCGGCUCAACCGUAAAAUUGCAGUUGAAACUGGCAGUCUUGAGUACAGUAGAGGUGGGCGGAAUUCGUGGUGUAGCGGUGAAAUGCUUAGAUAUCACGAAGAACUCCGAUUGCGAAGGCAGCUCACUGGACUGCAACUGACACUGAGGCUCGAAAGUGUGGGUAUCAAACAGGAUUAGAUACCCUGGUAGUCCACACAGUAAACGAUGAAUACUCGCUGUUUGCGAUA